CGGACGGGUGAGUAACGCGUGGAAAACCUGCCGUAUACUGGGGGAUAACGACUUAGAAAUAGGUGCUAAUACCGCAUAAGCGCACAGCUUCGCAUGAAGCGGUGUGAAAAACUCUGGUGGUAUACGAUGGUUCCGCGUCUGAUUAGCUAGUUGGUGGGGUAAUGGCCUACCAAGGCAACGAUCAGUAGCCGGCCUGAGAGGGUGAACGGCCACAUUGGGACUGAGACACGGCCCAAACUCCUACGGGAGGCAGCAG
This 256-nucleotide ribosomal RNA is filed under the name uncultured bacterium. RNAcentral describes it as "partial 16S ribosomal RNA". It matches the Rfam family "Bacterial small subunit ribosomal RNA", at positions 99 to 354 of the family's 1533-position model. The record is from RNAcentral.